Molecule: transfer RNA, 77 nt
Filed under: Corynebacterium urealyticum
Lineage: Bacteria; Bacillati; Actinomycetota; Actinomycetes; Mycobacteriales; Corynebacteriaceae
Also listed under: 17 other names
Description: tRNA-Pro
Rfam family: tRNA
About the family: Transfer RNA (tRNA) molecules are approximately 80 nucleotides in length.
Source: RNAcentral
CGGGAUAUGGCGCAGUUUGGUAGCGCACCUCGUUCGGGACGAGGGGGUCGCAGGUUCAAAUCCUGUUAUCCCGACCA